GCAACACUAAUUGCUGGUGUUUUUCUGCAUUUUUCUGAAAAUGGGUCAUGCAAAGACCCAAAAAAAGGAGAGAGGUUAUGUUUGGGAUUGUGAUUUAUUAUAAAAGAAAAAAAAAACCUCCUUUGUGUAAAGAGGUUUUUGUUUGAUUUAUAAUCAAAUAAUUUUUUAUCCACUUAAAAGUGACAUUUAUCCCAACCUAUUGAGUGGUUUUAUUUUCCUUUUUUGGACUCAUAAAAUUUGACAAAGUGAACCUGUAUCCGGAUCUGCUCUUGAGUAGUUAAUACUUUGAUUGAAUGAGGCUCUGGUCUCCCAAAAGGAGAAGGAUCCAGAGAAACUUGGCCGUCAGGAAAAACAUAACACCCCCCCUCCUUCACAAAGACGCAAGCGAGUCACAGACUGGAGCAACAGCAGAUGAUGCUGUAGCGUGCAGCCUUCCUGUCUAAGUAAACAGUGAUUCAGACGGAUGAGGAGUGGGAGGCUGUGGUUUGCUCCAGCCUGGCAGCACCAAGCCUCUCCCAGCUCCACCACAACAGGAUAUGGUCCGUGGGCCCACACUGGCCAUGGUUGCUUCAUAAUAUUGUCUUCUCCAGCUUUUACCAUUUGGUUCGCCUGGUAAUAUUCAUGCACGCUGACUACCAUGUGAGAAGCUGGACCCAUGUUUCUGGAAAAUAUAUCUCACUGUGGUGUUUUUGACCAAAGUGACAGUGAGUGAGGUUACUUUCCCUUCUCAUCUGUGUCUUAUAUAACUCUACAUACGCAAGUCUGGAUAAGUGGGCACGGAGAAGAUUAGUAAUUAGGUUUCUGUGACUCAACAGAUGGUACAGUGCAGAUUUUAAGCACAACAGUUUACUAUGUAACCACCGCAUCUUUCCAAAACAGUAAUUUUCAAACAUAUUUCAACUUUAUGCUUUGAUGGGAAGGAAGAAAAUGUCAUAACUCAGUGAUAAUUUUAUAAAGUGUUUUGUUUCUAUGCUAUGGCUUACUCAACUCAGCCAGAGCAAGAUGUCCUUCAUCUUAGUCCACAAACUUUAUAUGACUGUCUUGGCUGACCGCUGGCUUGCCAGUAACAAUUUUAUAUGCGAUGAGCUGAUAAAAUAAACAGACAACCUACUGGAGCGUUAC
Astatotilapia calliptera (eastern happy) is the source of this 1122-nucleotide long non-coding RNA. The record is from Ensembl. Lineage: Eukaryota; Metazoa; Chordata; Actinopteri; Cichliformes; Cichlidae.